GACGAACGCUGGCGGCGCGCUUAACACAUGCAAGUCGAACGGAAAGGCCUGCUUUCCCUUGUGGAUUGCGGGUACUCGAGUGGCGAACGGGUGAGUAACACGUGAGUGAUCUGCCCCCAACUUGGGUAUAAGCCUGGGAAACUGGGUCUAAUUCCCGAUAGGACUGCAGGGUGGUGCCUGUGGUGGAAAACGAUUUUCUAGUGGUUGGGGAUGAGCUCGCGGCCUAUCAGCUUGUUGGUGGGGUAAUGGCCUACCAAGGCGGCGACGGGUAGCCGGCCUGAGAGGGUGGACGGCCACAUUGGGACUGAGAUACGGCCCAGACUCCUACGGGAGGCAGCAGUGGGGAAGAGUGCACGAUGGGCGGAAGCCUGAUGCAGCGACGCCGCGUGGGGGAUGACGGCCUGCGGGUUGUAAACUCCUUUCGGCCGCGAGGAAGCCACCUGGUUGGAAGGGUGGUGACGGUAGUGGUAGAAGAAGCACCGGCUAACUACGUG
Molecule: ribosomal RNA, 494 nt
Filed under: uncultured bacterium
Lineage: Bacteria
Description: partial 16S ribosomal RNA
Rfam family: Bacterial small subunit ribosomal RNA
Source: RNAcentral